GACGAACGCUGGCGGCGUGCUUAACACAUGCCAGUCGAACGGAAAGGCCCUGCUUUUGUGGGGUGCUCGAGUGGCGAACGGGUGAGUAACACGUGAGUAACCUGCCCUUGACUUUGGGAUAACUUCAGGAAACUGGGGCUAAUACCGGAUAGGAGCUCCUGCUGCAUGGUGGGGGUUGGAAAGUUUCGGCGGUUGGGGAUGGACUGGCGGCUUAUCAGCUGGUUGGUGGGGUAGUGGCUUACCAAGGCUUUGACGGGUAGCCGGCAUGGGAGGGGGGCCGGCCUCAUUGGGACUGCGAGACGGCCCAGAAUCCUACGGGAGGCAGCAGGGGGGAGUAUGGCACAAUGGGCGGAAGCCUGAUGCAGCAACGCCGCGUGCGGGAUGACGGCCUUCGGGUUGUAAACCGCUUUCGCCUGCGACGAAGCGUGAGUGACGGUAAUGGGUAAAGAAGCACCGGCUAACUACGUG
RNAcentral lists this ribosomal RNA (468 nucleotides) under uncultured bacterium. RNAcentral's name for it is "partial 16S ribosomal RNA". It matches the Rfam family "Bacterial small subunit ribosomal RNA", at positions 28 to 507 of the family's 1533-position model. The record is from RNAcentral.